RNAcentral lists this ribosomal RNA (274 nucleotides) under uncultured Glomus. RNAcentral describes it as "partial 18S ribosomal RNA". It matches the Rfam family "Eukaryotic small subunit ribosomal RNA", at positions 548 to 822 of the family's 1831-position model. Lineage: Eukaryota; Fungi; Glomeromycota; Glomeromycetes; Glomerales; Glomeraceae. The record is from RNAcentral.
UUGGAGGGCAAGUCUGGUGCCAGCAGCCGCGGUAAUUCCAGCUCCAAUAGCGUAUAUUAAAGUUGUUGCAGUUAAAAAGCUCGUAGUUGAAUUUCGGGAUUGACGUGACGGUCGUGCCUUACGGGGUAUGAACUGUCGCCGUUGAUUUCUCACCUUCUGGAGAAGCUCGAUGUCCUUAAUUGGGUGUCUUGCGGAACCAGGACCUUUACCUUGAAAAAAUUAGAGUGUUUAAAGCAGGCAUUUUGCUCGAAUACAUUAGCAUGGAAUAAUAGAA